CUUGUUUCUAACUCCUACCUAUGUAGGGUGCUGGCUUCAGAAAUGCCAACCCCAUCCCAAUUAGAUAAAGACCUAGUAUAGAGAAAAAUCAUGCAAAAAUCAUAAACUUUGCCUCAUUCCUGUAGCAUUAACAGAUGCUCCCUGUUAUGCAGUGGGUAUACUGGAGCCCAAUCAUCUGAUGUCCCUGGUGUUUCAUCUGCUGUUCUGAUGUCAUCACAAUGAGAAAAAAAGUGUUGUAGCCAUCAAGUUUCAGGUGAAUUAUAUAUGCUUUAAAGAUGAAAACAAAAUUAUGCAACUAAAUUAUUUAAUCUCCUAAUGGAGUAUCUGUUGCUGUAAUUCCAAAUGGUCCUGAAUAUUUUAAAAAUAUGUAGAUGUCCAAUAUAUGUUUGUUAAAUUAAGUUGUUUGACUGUAAACAGUGUUUUCUUUAAGAAUCACUCAAAUUAAUAAUCAGGAACAUUUUUCUGGAGGAAAAUAAAAAAAUAAAAAAAAAUAAAAAAAGUUUGGCUACCUGAA
Molecule: long non-coding RNA, 514 nt
Organism: Lutra lutra (Eurasian river otter)
Lineage: Eukaryota; Metazoa; Chordata; Mammalia; Carnivora; Mustelidae
Exons: 2
Source: RefSeq, a predicted model, not a curated record